UCUGAGAUUAAGUUACAAGAAGAACGAUUUCUUUUCUUGCUUAUGAAAGCUACCCCGUGGAGACGCCAAUUUGGCAAGAGACGGAAGGAGGCUUCCAGUCAACAGCCAGGGAGGGUCUCGGUCCAAUCACCUCUGAGGACCCGAAUUCUGCCGACGACCACGUUGAGCGAGCUCAGACAUAGACCUUCCCCAAGCAAGCCUUGUGAGAGGUCCUAAGACAGAGGAUCCAGCUACACUCUGCCCAGAUUCCUGAUCCACAGAAACUGUGGGCUAAUACACGCUGCUGUUCCUAAUGAAUAAUAAAUGUGAAUUAUAGUCAAUGUAAAUGUUGCCUUAAGACGCUUAGUGCAGGGGUAAUUUGUUGCAUAGUAGUAAAUAGUUAAUACAGGAUCCCUAGCAUGGUAUAAUCAAGGAAAGAAACAUUUCUUUCUGCUGUCCUCUGCCUGUCAAGAGCAUUAUUCCAAUACAUUUAUAUAAAAUUUAAAAUAAUGAGCUUUCUUUCAUAGUUCAAGAUUCUAAAAUGCGAAUGAAGGAACCCUUUAAAGGAGCUAACCAACCAGGGGAACAAUUCUCCCAGGAAGUUCUGGUAAACUGGAUGAUGGCCACCUACAGCAAUGCCCACUGUUGGUAAUGUAGAAUGUUAAAACUCACCUUUGGGGCAAAGACCAAUUUUGAUUCCAUACAUCCCUUUUAAAAUUUCCACUUCCUCUUGAAAGGGAAAGCUAUUUUUCGCUAACUUCAUCUUGUAACAUUAAAAAAAAUCAAUUUUCACCAAUAGAACACCCUGGAAUGCCUUCCAGAGAGGAUAUUAAUUAUCGCAAUCACAUAAACAGAACCGUAUCUGCUCUGAACAAGUCUUUAUUUCAUGCUUGAGAUCAUUUCCACAACCUUUGGAGACAACCCUUUUAUUUUCAGGAGUAGUUCUAAGCCUGUGUCCCUGUUGAGAGAGGAUCACGGCGGUCCGCAGCCAGUAGCUUCUUUGUACGAGCCUUUCUUCCCUUCUCUGUCCAGGAAGUUCACUCAGCUGAAGCUAUCUGGUGUGACAGUGAGUGAGGCAGCUGGAUGAAGUCAUGGUCAUCAUUCAGCCUGAAUCCAACCCAUGAUGGUUUCUCACAGGUUUGAAUUACACAUCCACACCCUUUGCCGAUGGGGAUUUGCAGUGCCUCUUGGGAAGGAAAGAUUAUCCCUCACCCAUUGCCUUUGGCCUUAACCAUGUGACCCGCUUUGGCUAAUGGAAUGUAGGUAGAAGUGAAUGGGUGUCAGCUCCCAGCUGACAUCGUUAAGAGACCUGGAGAGUAAGAAAGACCGUCAUCUCACCAUCUCUCUGAAGAUCUUCUACAGUGGACAGAGUCGGGUGGAACAAAUGUGAUCCUACCUGGAGAUGGCACGUUGGCCCAGAUCAUCUUUGGCAAGUCUUCAUUUCAGGGUCUUCUACGAAACGUCUGGCCCUGUCAGCUGAUUUGCCACUUCUCCGCUUCCGUAAAUCCACGGGCGCAUUGUCUCAGAGUGUUCCAGUGCCGUCUCUCUACCAUAA
This is a long non-coding RNA of Neofelis nebulosa (Clouded leopard), 1534 nucleotides long. RefSeq lists it as uncharacterized. The record is from RefSeq and is a predicted model, not a curated record. Lineage: Eukaryota; Metazoa; Chordata; Mammalia; Carnivora; Felidae. The transcript is spliced from 3 exons.